RNAcentral lists this transfer RNA (75 nucleotides) under Blastochloris viridis. RNAcentral describes it as "tRNA-Arg". It matches the Rfam family "tRNA". Rfam says of the family: Transfer RNA (tRNA) molecules are approximately 80 nucleotides in length. Their secondary structure includes four short double-helical elements and three loops (D, anti-codon, and T loops). Further hydrogen bonds mediate the characteristic L-shaped molecular structure. tRNAs have two regions of fundamental functional importance: the anti-codon, which is responsible for specific mRNA codon recognition, and the 3' end, to which the tRNAs corresponding amino acid is attached (by aminoacyl-tRNA synthetases). tRNAs cope with the degeneracy of the genetic code in two manners: having more than one tRNA (with a specific anti-codon) for a particular amino acid; and 'wobble' base-pairing, i.e. permitting non-standard base-pairing at the 3rd anti-codon position. The record is from RNAcentral. Lineage: Bacteria; Pseudomonadati; Pseudomonadota; Alphaproteobacteria; Hyphomicrobiales; Blastochloridaceae.
GCCGCCGUCGUUCAAUGGAUAGGACGAGAACCUCCUAAGUUCUAAAUGCUGGUUCGAUUCCGGCCGGGGGCACCA